CCACUGCUAUUUUACACUCGAUCAACCACCCCAGCAGAGGCCGGAGAUUGCCUAAGAAUGAGAGCAUUGCGCUGCUUCCAAAUGUGCCAGCAAGCCGCGAGAAAGACCAUUUCGAGGACAAGGAGGCAUCUAAAGUGGUGGGAACUCUGCUAAAACGCCCAAGCAUGGAGCCAGAAGCAUGGGCGGAGCCACCGCCUGGCUACCCCGGGCAACUGCCCGGGCUCCCCCCUUGAUCUCCCUUUAAGAUGAAGUAAGCAUGGUGGUUAAAUUGACAGAUUUUUGUGCGUAAAUUUUAGUUCAGAAGAAUGAUACUCCCUCCGUCCAACAAAAGAUGUCUCAAGUUUGUCAAAAUUUGGAUAUAUCUAGACAUGACUUAGUGUAUAGAUGCAUUCAAAUUUAGUCAAAAUUGAGAUAUCUUUUGUUGGAAGAAGGGAGUAUGUGCUUUACCCAGGCUUCAUCAA
Molecule: long non-coding RNA, 461 nt
Filed under: Brachypodium distachyon (stiff brome)
Lineage: Eukaryota; Viridiplantae; Streptophyta; Magnoliopsida; Poales; Poaceae
Description: long non-coding RNA (BDIS_LNC003510)
Rfam family: MIR1120/MIR1122 microRNA precursor family (bases 306-441)
Source: RNAcentral